CAUGGCUCAGGAUGAACGCUAGCUACAGGCUUAACACAUGCAAGUCGAGGGGCAGCAUUUUAGUUUGCUUGCAAACUGAAGAUGGCGACCGGCGCACGGGUGAGUAACACGUAUCCAACCUGCCGAUAACUCCGGAAUAGCCUUUCGAAAGAAAGAUUAAUACCGGAUAGCAUACGAAUAUCGCAUGAUAUUUUUAUUAAAGAAUUUCGGUUAUCGAUGGGGAUGCGUUCCAUUAGUUUGUUGGCGGGGUAACGGCCCGCCAAGACUACGAUGGAUAGGGGUUCUGAGAGGAAGGUCCCCCACAUUGGAACUGAGACACGGUCCAAACUCCUACGGGAGGCAGCAGUGAGGAAUAUUGGUCAAUGGGCGAGAGCCUGAACCAGCCAAGUAGCGUGAAGGAUGAAGGCUCUAUGGGUCGUAAACUUCUUUUAUAUGGGAAUAAAGUUUUCCACGUGUGGAAUUUUGUAUGUACCAUAUGAAUAAGGAUCGGCUAACUCCGUGCCAGCAGCCGCGGUAAUACGGAGGAUCCGAGCGUUAUCCGGAUUUAUUGGGUUUAAAGGGAGCGUAGGUGGAUUGUUAAGUCAGUUGUGAAAGUUUGCGGCUCAACCGUAAAAUUGCAGUUGAAACUGGCAGUCUUGAGUACAGUAGAGGUGGGCGGAAUUCGUGGUGUAGCGGUGAAAUGCUUAGAUAUCACGAAGAACUCCGAUUGCGAAGGCAGCUCACUAGACUGUCACUGACACUGAUGCUCGAAAGUGUGGGUAUCAAACAGGAUUAGAUACCCUGGUAGUCCACACAGUAAACGAUGAAUACUCGCUGUUUGCGAUAUACAGUAAGCGGCCAAGCGAAAGCAUUAAGUAUUCCACCUGGGGAGUACGCCGGCAACGGUGAAACUCAAAGGAAUUGACGGGGGCCCGCACAAGCGGAGGAACAUGUGGUUUAAUUCGAUGAUACGCGAGGAACCUUACCCGGGCUUAAAUUGCAACAGAAUAUAUUGGAAACAGUAUAGCCGUAAGGCUGUUGUGAAGGUGCUGCAUGGUUGUCGUCAGCUCGUGCCGUGAGGUGUCGGCUUAAGUGCCAUAACGAGCGCAACCCUUAUCUUUAGUUACUAACAGGUUAUGCUGAGGACUCUAGAGAGACUGCCGUCGUAAGAUGUGAGGAAGGUGGGGAUGACGUCAAAUCAGCACGGCCCUUACGUCCGGGGCUACACACGUGUUACAAUGGGGGGUACAGAAGGCGGCUACCUGGUGACAGGAUGCUAAUCCCAAAAACCUCUCUCAGUUCGGAUCGAAGUCUGCAACCCGACUUCGUGAAGCUGGAUUCGCUAGUAAUCGCGCAUCAGCCAUGGCGCGGUGAAUACGUUCCCGGGCCUUGUACACACCGCCCGUCAAGCCAUGAAAGCCGGGGGUACCUGAAGUACGUAACCGCAAGGAGCGUCCUAGGGUAAAACUGGU
Molecule: ribosomal RNA, 1451 nt
Filed under: uncultured organism
Description: SSU rRNA
Rfam family: Bacterial small subunit ribosomal RNA
Source: RNAcentral